GCACAAGCGGAGGAGCAUGCGGCUCAAUUCGAUGCAACGCGAAGAACCUUACCAGGGCUUGACAUGCAACUGCACGUCCCGUGAAAGUGGGACUCCUUCGAGGGUGUUGCACAGGUGCUGCAUGGCUGUCGUCAGUUCGUGCCGUGAGGUGUUUGGUUAAGUCCAUCAACGAACGCAACCCUUGUGUUUAGUUGCCACCACCGGUGAUGAGCCGGUGAGCACUCUAGACAGACUGCCCAUAUUAAGUGGGAGGAAGGUGGGGAUGACGUCAAGUCCGUAUGGCCCUUAUGUCCUGGGCUGCACGCGUGCUACAAUGGUCGGUACAGAGGGACGCAAUACCGCGAGGUGGAGCAAAUCCCCAAAAACCGAUCUCAGUCCGGAUUGGAGUCUGCAAUUCGACUCCAUGAAGUUGGAUUCGCUAGUAAUGGCACAUCAGCUACGGUGCCGUGAAUACGUUCCCGGGGAUUGUACACACCGCCCGUCACAUCAUGAAAGCUGUCUGCACCAGAAGUUGCUGUUCUAAUCCGCAAGGAAAGAAGU
RNAcentral lists this ribosomal RNA (540 nucleotides) under uncultured bacterium. RNAcentral's name for it is "bacterial SSU rRNA". It matches the Rfam family "Bacterial small subunit ribosomal RNA", at positions 923 to 1453 of the family's 1533-position model. The record is from RNAcentral.